Molecule: ribosomal RNA, 468 nt
Filed under: uncultured bacterium
Lineage: Bacteria
Description: partial 16S ribosomal RNA
Rfam family: Bacterial small subunit ribosomal RNA
Source: RNAcentral
GACGAACGCUGGCGGCGUGCUUAAUACAUGCAAGUCGAACGGAAAGGCUCUGCUUUUGUGGCGUGCUCGAGUGGCGAACGGGUGUGUAACACGUGAGUAUCCCGCCCUUGACUUUGGGAUAAAUCCAGGAAACUGGGGCUAAUAUCCGGUAGGAGCUCCUGAUGCAUGUUGGGGGUUGGUAAGUUUCGGCGUUUGGGGAUUGACUCGCGGCGUAUCAGCUUGUUGGUGAGGUAGUGGAUUACCAAGGCUUUGAAGGGUAGCCGGCCUGAGAGGGUGACCGGCCAAAUUACGACUGAGGUAGGGGUCAGUCUCCAACGGGAAGCAGCAGUGGGGAAUAUUGCCGAAUGGGCGGGAGCCUGAUGCAGCAACGCCACGUACGGAAUAACGGCCUUCGAGUUGUGAACCGAUUUCGACUGAGACGAAGCGUGAGUGACGGUAAUGUGUAAAGAAGCACCGGCUAACUACGUG